RNAcentral lists this long non-coding RNA (247 nucleotides) under Setaria italica (foxtail millet). RNAcentral's name for it is "long non-coding RNA (SITA_LNC002684)". The record is from RNAcentral. Lineage: Eukaryota; Viridiplantae; Streptophyta; Magnoliopsida; Poales; Poaceae.
AACAGGUGGCAUACAUACAAGAGUGAAGUUUCUGUUCGAGACCACCACCGACCAUAAUAAAAGUCGAGUCUUUUAUCCUAGCCACAUCAGUUAGUGGCGCAUAAUUCCGUUUAAAUCCACUUGAUCAAUCAGGAGAGCAUCAGCGCUAGGGUUCGUCUGUUCCGUACAACUUACAAAUGCGCCAAAAUCCAAAGGAAAUCUAACUGUAAUGGAUCGAGUCGAGAUCACCCCAGGCCCCCGGACCGAU